CAGUAGCCACGGUAAUACAGAGGGUGCGAGCGUUAAUCGGAUUUACUGGGCGUAAAGCGUGCGUAGGCGGCUUCUUAAGUCGGAUGUGAAAUCCCUGAGCUUAACUUAGGAAUUGCAUUCGAUACUGGGUAGCUAGAGUAUGGGAGAGGAUGGUAGAAUUCCAGGUGUAGCGGUGAAAUGCGUAGAGAUCUGGAGGAAUACCGAUGGCGAAGGCAGCCAUCUGGCCUAAUACUGACGCUGAGGUACGAAAGCAUGGGGAGCAAACAGGAUUAGAUACCCCCGUAGUCCAUGUCUCUUAUAA
Molecule: ribosomal RNA, 301 nt
Filed under: uncultured bacterium
Lineage: Bacteria
Description: partial 16S ribosomal RNA
Rfam family: Bacterial small subunit ribosomal RNA
Source: RNAcentral